UUUGAACAAGAAUCAAAAGUCAUCAGUAAACCAUCAGAGGACACAAUGAAAAGUAACUCUCUUCGUCUCAGCACGAAGGAGAACUCUAUCAAAGUGGAGCCACCGUUUAAUGUGCAAAAUUCUCAUGACUCUGACAAUGAUGUUUACUAUCCAUACUGCUUUUUUUCGACAGAGGAUAAUAAUGAAGAUGACCACGAGAAGAGAAAAGCAAGACUGCGUCUCAGAAAAGGAAGAAGUGUCGUGCACAAAAGCCUUGAAGAUAAUUAUGGCGCUGUGAUAAUAGCCAAUCAUGAAGCUCUGCACAAGUUCUAGAUCAGCUUCAACUCAAUCCUGUUGUACCGCCUCAUUUCCGAAGCCUGUCGGCUUCAAGUAAGAUUCGAUGGAGUGACUUUUCAAACAUUGAUAUCACUAAAAGGAAGAUCUUGGCUGACCGAAUAUUUUACUCCGCUGAAUGGAAUUCUCACCCUGUCACGCUAUGUAUAUCACAGCUCCAACACUCGCCAUGUACCUUACCGCAACUCUACACCUUAUCACCCAAUUACUGAGUUCACCGAUUUUGUAUCUGCAGAGUAUCUGACCACCAACAAAAUCCUAAACUCCGAGCAAGUGGCCGUUGCUGUCCUGAGCUCUCAAUUCUUUGACUCUCUGGCAAGCUACUGCAACUUGAAGCCAGCAACUCAAACUGAAAAGGAUAUUGGCUUAAUAGUGAUUCAACUAGUGAACGUUCUCAAGUGUCUCCAAACCUGCGACCAAAUAGACAUUUCCAUGCAAGAACUUGUUUUGUGCAGAGAAGAAGAGGGAAAUGUGCCAAGGCUUUGUGUGGCACCGAUUUCCACUGACUCGCCAAUCCUCAAAGAAAAGGUAUCCAUUUACUUUUGUUUCUUGCAAAAACUUUGUUCAAAAAAGAUUUUUCUUUAUCUCUUUUUUAGCCAAAAAAUCACUAUCUCCUAA
This 951-nucleotide long non-coding RNA is filed under the name Bemisia tabaci. RNAcentral describes it as "lncRNA ENSSWEETPG010170". The record is from RNAcentral. Lineage: Eukaryota; Metazoa; Arthropoda; Insecta; Hemiptera; Aleyrodidae.